UUAUCAAAUUAAAAAAACCAAAAAAAAACAAAAAAAAAUCAGUUCAAAAUUGUUUGUCGCAAAAAAAAAAGUUCUUCAAAUAUUCUCCACUCUAAAAAAAGCUUCAGCAUCAACCCAACUGAAGAUGUGCGAACCAUGCGGUUUCUCCGUGGCACCUUGCGGCCCUUACGGACCCAUCGGUCCGUAUGGACCCAUCACCGCAUGUGGAGCUCAUGGUUUCUGUGGACCGCCGUGCAUACCGGACUCAUCACCAAAUCCACCAUGCUGCCCAUCGCCGUGUCCCGUAGGCGUUUGCCCGCCGCCAUGUGAUCCUUGCUCCAAUUGUUGUCCAAGUCCAUGUUGUCUCUGAAAAUUUUGGCUGUGAAGAGAAACAUAUUCCAUUGCAAAAUCAAGUGAUGUUUUGGCGCAUAUAUUGAGUUGAGUUGGGCUGGAAAAAAUUUGAGUUCAAACAUUGUUUUGCGGAGAUCUUCAUGCAGCUUUAUGGCUUGAAGGGUGUAUAGUUAAUCAAGAUCCGCUCCAUAGAACUCUGUUUAAGGCAAUGAAUGUGUUGAAAUGAUCGUGGAAUAUGAAAAUUUGUUUGGUCUUUGGUCCCCAUGAAUAAAUUUAUUGCAAUAGCACAAGA
Long non-coding RNA from Ceratitis capitata (Mediterranean fruit fly), 622 nucleotides. RefSeq lists it as uncharacterized. The transcript is spliced from 2 exons. The record is from RefSeq and is a predicted model, not a curated record. NCBI's taxonomy places the organism in Eukaryota, Metazoa, Arthropoda, Insecta, Diptera, Tephritidae.